CAGGUUUCAUAGUUGUGAUGUGUUGUGCUGUUGUUGGACCUGUGAUGAUUGUAGCCGCACUUCUCAUCUUCUGCAGAAAACACACACACACACAACAACAAGAUCCGGCCGGUGAAGAUGAGAUCACUUACGCCUUCUGUAAAAGACAAACACAUCAACCGAGAUGUGCGGUGGAGGAUGAUGUGGUGUAUUCAGGAGUCAUGAGAAGAUGAUCAAACUCUCUGUCCAUAGACGUUCAGAUUACAGUAACUAUGUCUGCUCAACACACCCGUUUAAAGUCUAUUAAAUGUCAUUGAAAUGAUGCAAUACAAGCAAACCCUGUGAUGCCAGUGAAGUAUAUUCUUUUCACUGCUGUCUUGACAUGAACUACUGAAAUAUGAGUGCACAAAAGAUAUGAAAAGAGAAUUGUUUCUGACUUUGACAAAUGUUUCAUGCAGAUUGUAACAUUAAAUAGUUUUUAACUGUAUAUUACACAUUGGUUUUUAUCUUUGUAUAUUCAGUGAUAUUUGCAAUAGAUACAGUAAAACUGUGCAUAUGUUUAAAACGUAUGUUUUCUUUUUCAAAAAAUAAAAUAAUUAAAUAACUGCAUCAAUGGAGUGUGAUGGAUGUAUGAAAUAAGAAAUGAACAUGUAGUUGAAUAUAAAGAUAAGUAAUAAAACUUAAAGAUCAAAUCUCUCUGUGUUUUGAGUGUAUUUAUGCUUCAUUUGCUUAGAUGUUUGAUCCCUUAAUGCUAAACAUUAAAAAUAUCCUAGUAACCACCCUAGCAACACACAUGUA
This is a long non-coding RNA of Triplophysa rosa, 777 nucleotides long. RefSeq lists it as uncharacterized. The record is from RefSeq and is a predicted model, not a curated record. Lineage: Eukaryota; Metazoa; Chordata; Actinopteri; Cypriniformes; Nemacheilidae. The transcript has 3 exons.